RNAcentral lists this ribosomal RNA (253 nucleotides) under uncultured bacterium. Its description in RNAcentral is "partial 16S ribosomal RNA". It matches the Rfam family "Bacterial small subunit ribosomal RNA", at positions 524 to 776 of the family's 1533-position model. The record is from RNAcentral.
UACGUAGGGUGCAAGCGUUGUCCGGAAUUAUUGGGCGUAAAGAGCUCGUAGGCGGUUUGUCGCGUCUGCUGUGAAAACUCGGGGCUUAACUCCGGGCCUGCAGUGGGUACGGGCAGACUAGAGUGCGGUAGGGGAGACUGGAAUUCCUGGUGUAGCGGUGAAAUGCGCAGAUAUCAGGAGGAACACCGGUGGCGAAGGCGGGUCUUUGGUCUGUAACUGACGCUGAGGCGCGAAAGCGUGGGGAUCAAACAGG